This 1143-nucleotide long non-coding RNA is filed under the name Oryza sativa Indica Group (long-grained rice). RNAcentral's name for it is "lncRNA OsGoSa_06g0021540". The record is from RNAcentral. Lineage: Eukaryota; Viridiplantae; Streptophyta; Magnoliopsida; Poales; Poaceae.
UCAUCUUUUACUCAUACACUCUUACAUUCAUCAUUCAACGGUUCAGAUCAUCCGCGUAAAAUCCGAACGGUUCAGAUCGAUCCCACCUCCACCUCCCUCAAUCAGCGGACGACCCGCACGCCCCCCCUCCCUAUCGCUCUCCCACCACACCUGCACCUCCGCCCUCCGCCGGAAUUCCACUCCUGCACCUCCGCCAUCAGUGCUCCGCUCCGUAUCAGCCGCCGCGCCGUCCUCUGCAUCGUAUGUCUGCCACCGAUCCCGCCGCCGGCUCACCUCCAUGAUCCUCCGCCUCCCCGCUGCACGAGGUCCUCCCGUCGCCAGGUCGUCGCCGCCGUUCUGCUCCACCGAUCCCCGCCGCACGAGGUGCUCCCGUCGCUAGGUAGCCACCGCGCCGUCCUCUGCAUCGCCUAUCUCCACCAAUCCCCUCUACAUCGCAGGGGUGAGCUGCAGCUAUGGAGUUCCUCGCCGGUGGGGGAGCAGCAGAGUACAAUGAACGUGGGGUGCUCGGCGAAAUGUCCCGUCUGGCUACUCACCUGCAAUGCAUGUGUUCUGGAGAGUGUUUAUGGAUUCUGGAUCUUAGACCCCCUCAACGACUUGGAUCGUUAGUAAAGCUUCAUCUUGAAGGUUGACAUGGGAACUUUACUAGCAGAGGAAUGGGCUUAUAUUCUUGGAAAAAAUACAUUUCUCCAUGCAGAAUGUGAUCACAAUAAUGAUACUUGCUGCCAUGAUUUCUAUCACUCAUGCACGCAUUGCCCUUGAUGAUUGUAUGCAGUUGGGAUAUAUUGUCAUCAAGCAAGAAAAUCCUUGGCGAUUCUGGUUUAUAUGACUUCCUGGAAGCAGUAGGAACAACAAGAGUUACUGAACCAGAAAUUGAACUUGCCUUCUUCAUGCAUCAGAUGAACCAUAAAGGGAACAACACUACUACCCUCUCCAAAAUUGAGCUGCUCAGGACUUCGUAGAAAUUUACAGCUUUAGGACAUGUGAUUUAUCCAUUCUCUUUUACUGUUUAUUCUAAAAUGCAAAAAAAAGAAAUUUUGUUGUAGCUUAGAUUAAGGCAGCCUUAGCUUUGUGGUUUGCCAAGCCAUGUACUGAUAUAUGAAUGUGAUACUUUAAUUAAUGUUGAAACGCAUGAUUAUGUAUUUG